GCCAGCUCGCGGCGUCCGUCUAGCUCUGAGAGUGACUUUGGGUUUCCAGGUCGUCGGAUCGGGCUCCCCUGUGCGACAAAACCUCCUGUUUGGGAAGGACCCUUUUCCUGGUGCAGAUGUCCAUUUCCUUAUCUCCAUUGCCUUCAAGCUUUCUCAGGGUUGAGAUCAGGACCAGAAGAGCA
Molecule: long non-coding RNA, 182 nt
Organism: Talpa occidentalis (Iberian mole)
Lineage: Eukaryota; Metazoa; Chordata; Mammalia; Eulipotyphla; Talpidae
Exons: 3
Source: RefSeq, a predicted model, not a curated record